This 71-nucleotide transfer RNA is filed under the name Loxodonta africana (African savanna elephant). It matches the Rfam family "tRNA". From Rfam's summary of the family: Transfer RNA (tRNA) molecules are approximately 80 nucleotides in length. Their secondary structure includes four short double-helical elements and three loops (D, anti-codon, and T loops). Lineage: Eukaryota; Metazoa; Chordata; Mammalia; Proboscidea; Elephantidae. The record is from Rfam by way of RNAcentral.
CCUGGUGGUACAAAUGGUUGCGUGCUUGGCUGUUAACCAAAAGGUUGGUGGUUAAAACCCACCCACCAGAA